UCAGUGACUUGGGAUGAUGCUACC
This 24-nucleotide non-coding RNA is filed under the name Rattus norvegicus (Norway rat). Lineage: Eukaryota; Metazoa; Chordata; Mammalia; Rodentia; Muridae. The record is from RNAcentral.